RNAcentral lists this ribosomal RNA (451 nucleotides) under uncultured bacterium. RNAcentral describes it as "partial 16S ribosomal RNA". It matches the Rfam family "Bacterial small subunit ribosomal RNA", at positions 28 to 507 of the family's 1533-position model. The record is from RNAcentral.
AGCGAACGCUGGCGGCAUGCCUAACACAUGCAAGUCGCACGGGGGGGCUUCGGCCUCCCAGUGGCGGAAGGGUGGGGACCGCGUAGGGACCUGUCGAGGGGUGGGGGAUAACCGCGGGAAACUGCGGCUAAUACCGCAUGACGCCGCGGCGUGACAGCCGGGGCCAAAGGCGAAAGCCGCCCGCCGAGGGGCCUGCGUCCGAUUAGCUGGUUGGCGGGGUAGCGGCCCACCAAGGCGUCGAUCGGUAGCUGGUCUGAGAGGGUGAUCAGCAACACCGGGACUGAGACACGGCCCGGACUCCUACGGGAGGCAGCAGUGGGGAAUAUUGGACAAUGGGCGCAAGCCUGAUCCAGCAAUGCCGCGUGGGUGAAGAAGGUCUUCGGAUUGUAAAGCCCUUUCGGCGGGGAGGAUGGUGACGGUACCCGCAGAAGAAGCCCCGGCUAACUUCGUG